Molecule: small nucleolar RNA, 123 nt
Filed under: Fukomys damarensis (Damara mole-rat)
Lineage: Eukaryota; Metazoa; Chordata; Mammalia; Rodentia; Bathyergidae
Source: RNAcentral
GGUAGUGUCGAUCACGAUAGGACUUAUAGCUGCACAUUGUUGGAAAUGCAUCAUAGAGUAAAUUUCAGGUUUCUUUUUCCUCACAGGAUUAUUAGGUCUGUGGAAAGGAACUAUAAGACAGUU